UACGUAGGGUGCAAGCGUUAAUCGGAAUUACUGGGCGUAAAGCGUGCGCAGGCGGCCGAGCAAGUCGAGUGUGAAAGCCCCGAGCUUAACUUGGGAACUGCGCUCGAAACUACUUGGCUAGAGUGUGGCAGAGGGAGGUGGAAUUCCACGUGUAGCGGUGAAAUGCGUAGAGAUGUGGAGGAACACCGAUGGCGAAGGCAGCCUCCUGGGCCAACACUGACGCUCAUGCACGAAAGCGUGAGGAGCAAACAGG
RNAcentral lists this ribosomal RNA (253 nucleotides) under uncultured bacterium. RNAcentral describes it as "partial 16S ribosomal RNA". It matches the Rfam family "Bacterial small subunit ribosomal RNA", at positions 524 to 776 of the family's 1533-position model. The record is from RNAcentral.